RNAcentral lists this small RNA (295 nucleotides) under Vigna angularis var. angularis. RNAcentral describes it as "Non-protein coding transcript". The record is from RNAcentral. Lineage: Eukaryota; Viridiplantae; Streptophyta; Magnoliopsida; Fabales; Fabaceae.
CUUAAUCAGUGCUUGAGCCUUCCUGAUGAAAUUAUGGGGUUGAAGCCUGAGGUCACUGGAACUUAUGUCACCAGGGCAUACCUCAGUAAUGUAUGUGUUGCUGAAGAGUUACACAGAAAUGGGUUGGGUUAUGCACUUCUUGAAGUGUCAAAGUUAGUAGCCUAUGAUUGUGUUAAGAAUCCAAAGAAGGCUUAACUGCUACGUUGAUGUUGCUAUCGUUUCUCCUAUCUUUAAAAAGAUCAAUUGAUGUGCACAUACGAAGAAUGCUAACAGUAUAUUCCCAACUACAGUUCUU